CAUCGAUAACGAUAUGUGUAUUUUCCUGCUCUCUCUGCACCAACACAAAACACGCAACUAAAUUUCGGUUAAAAACCCCAGCUAAAAACAAUGUAAUCGAAACGGAAUCAUAUAAAGUGAUUAAAUGGCCAACGCGGCGGCGCCGAAAUGCGAGCGCAGUGCAUUUUCCGGAUAAAAUCGCGUUUUCGGGGAAACUUACACAAACAUUUUUUUUCGUAAGCGCUCUCAUGUUGUCUCUUUCGCACAGCAGAAUUACUAGUUGCUGUGUGUGUGCGUGCGUGCGUUUGUGUGUGCCGUAUGCCGUAUGCCAGUGUGUGCGUGCGUGAUUGUGUGUGUGAGUGACUUUGACUGCAGUUCGCGUACGUUUUUUAUUAAUACACCACAUAACAACAAUCACAACAACAAACAGUAAUGGAAACUAAACAUAUUUAAUGCGCGGAGACCAGAAAUCGUCUGAAACGGCAAGGCUUUAUCACCAUCGCCACCACCACCAACAGCACAGCAACAACAACAAAUUACUACAGCAUGUAUGCUAGUGUGCGUAAACGUAUUUGUGUUAAAUAAUGUUUAAACUGGCAUUUCUGAUUUCGCACACAAAACAAUAUUAAGUUGAAGUCACCAGCAGAGAGGAGCAAUUGGAGUAAUCGAAAAAGAGCCAACGUUAUCAUUAAAAUUCGCCUCAAAUACAAGCAAUAAUACAUUAUAUAAAUAAAACCCGAAAGAAAAAAGUUCAACUUCUAGUAAAGAAAGCAAACAAAGUUUAGAAACACUUGCAUUAACGAAAUCGUAGCCAUUAGCUUUAACAAAGUCGCGUAAAAAUUUUGAGCAGAACUUAGCAAGCCUAUAAAGUCUAAGUAAUGAAUAAUAGAUUUUAUAUAUGCGCCCCAAGUGCUUAAUUAACAACAACAUCAACAACUACAGCAACAACACCACACAACCAAAUCAAGAUUAAAAAUAAUAAAAACUAUGUAGAGCAACAACAACCUCAACAAACAGCGAAUCGAGCAAUAUUAUCAAUAAUAACUCUGUACAUUGUUAAACGUUAAAAAUUGAAAUUCAAACAACGCUAACAACCUGCCAGUAUCAACAACAAAUAAAACAA
Molecule: long non-coding RNA, 1102 nt
Organism: Drosophila sechellia
Lineage: Eukaryota; Metazoa; Arthropoda; Insecta; Diptera; Drosophilidae
Exons: 3
Source: RefSeq, a predicted model, not a curated record